UGGGGAAUAUUGCACAAUGGGGGAAACCCUGAUGCAGCGACGCCGCGUGAGCGAAGAAGGCUUUCGGGUCGUAAAGCUCUGUCCUAUGAGAAGAUAAUGACGGUAUCAUAGGAGGAAGCCCUGGCUAAAUACGUGCCAGCAGCCGCGGUAAUACGUAUGGGGCGAGCGUUGUCCGGAAUUAUUGGGCGUAAAGGGUACGUAGGCGGUUUUUUAAGUCAGGUGUCAAAGCGUGGAGCUUAACUCCAUUAAGCACUUGAAACUGAAAGACUUGAGUGAAGGAGAGGAAAGUGGAAUUCCUAGUGUAGCGGUGAAAUGCGUAGAUAUUAGGAGGAAUACCGGUGGCGAAGGCGACUUUCUGGACUUUUACUGACGCUCAGGUACGAAAGCGUGGGGAGCAAACAGG
This 403-nucleotide ribosomal RNA is filed under the name Verrucomicrobiota bacterium. RNAcentral describes it as "Verrucomicrobia bacterium partial 16S ribosomal RNA". It matches the Rfam family "Bacterial small subunit ribosomal RNA", at positions 355 to 776 of the family's 1533-position model. Lineage: Bacteria; Pseudomonadati; Verrucomicrobiota. The record is from RNAcentral.